GUGGAUUAGAUACCCUGGUAGUCCACGCCGUAAACGAUGGAUACUAAGUGUUUGGGAAGUUAACCUCCUGAGUACUAAAGCUAACGCAUUAAGUAUCCCGCCUGGGGAGUACGGUCGCAAGGCUAAAACUCAAAGGAAUUGACGGGGGCCCGCACAAGCGGUGGAGUAUGUGGUUUAAUUCGAAGCAACGCGCAGAACCUUACCUACCUUUAACAUCCCGUGACAACUGCAGAGAUGUAGCGUUCCUUUCGGGGACACGGUGAUAGGUGCUGCACGAUUGUCGUCAACU
This 289-nucleotide ribosomal RNA is filed under the name uncultured bacterium. RNAcentral describes it as "partial 16S ribosomal RNA". It matches the Rfam family "Bacterial small subunit ribosomal RNA", at positions 773 to 1060 of the family's 1533-position model. The record is from RNAcentral.